AUUGAACGCUAGCGGCAGGCCUAACACAUGCAAGUCGAACGAGUGGCGGACGGGUAAGUAAUGUCUGGGAAAAUGCCCGAUGUAGGGGGAUAACUCCUGGAAACGGUAGCUAAUACCGCAUACAAUCCGAUGUGCCCAGAUGGGAUUAGCUAGUUGGUGGGGUAAUGGCGCACCUAGGCGACUAUCCCUAGCUGGUCUGAGAGGAUGACCAGCCAGCCUGGAACUUAUACACGGCCCAGACUCCAUAGGGAGGCAGCAGUGGGGAAUAUUGGACAAUGGGCGCAAGCCUGAUGCAGCCAUGCCGCGUGUAUGAGGAAGGCCUUCGGGUGGUAAAGUACUUUCAUCAAGGAGGCGUUACUCGCAUAAGAAGCACCGGCUAACUCCGUGCCAGCAGCCGCGGUAAUUC
This 406-nucleotide ribosomal RNA is filed under the name uncultured bacterium. RNAcentral describes it as "partial 16S ribosomal RNA". It matches the Rfam family "Bacterial small subunit ribosomal RNA", at positions 30 to 526 of the family's 1533-position model. The record is from RNAcentral.